AUUGAACGCUGGCGGCAGGCCUAACACAUGCAAGUCGAACGAGUGGCGGACGGGUGAGUAAUGUCUGGGAAACUGCCUGAUGGAGGGGGAUAACUACUGGAAACGGUGGCUAAUACCGCAUACCAUCGGAUGUGCCCAUAUGGGAUGGGCUAGUUGGUGGGGUAUAGGCUCACCUAGGCGACGAUCCCUAGCUGGUCUGAGAGGAUGACCAGCCACACUGGAACUGAGACACGGGCCAGACUCCUACGGGAGGCAGCAGUGGGGAAUAUUGCACAAUGGGCGCAAGCCUGAUGCAGCCAUGCCGCGUGUAUGAAGAAGGCCUUCGGGUUGUAAAGUACUUUCAGCGGGGAGGCGUUACCCGCAGAAGAAGCACCGGCUAACUCCGUGCCAGCCGCCGCGGUAAUAC
RNAcentral lists this ribosomal RNA (406 nucleotides) under uncultured bacterium. RNAcentral's name for it is "partial 16S ribosomal RNA". It matches the Rfam family "Bacterial small subunit ribosomal RNA", at positions 30 to 526 of the family's 1533-position model. The record is from RNAcentral.